RNAcentral lists this ribosomal RNA (579 nucleotides) under Hydrolagus colliei (spotted ratfish). RNAcentral's name for it is "partial 16S ribosomal RNA". It matches the Rfam family "Bacterial large subunit ribosomal RNA", at positions 1814 to 2599 of the family's 2925-position model. The record is from RNAcentral. Lineage: Eukaryota; Metazoa; Chordata; Chondrichthyes; Chimaeriformes; Chimaeridae.
CAUCGCCUCCUGGAACCCCAGUAUAGGAGGUCCCGCCUGCCCUGUGACAUUAGUUUAACGGCCGCGGUAUCCUGACCGUGCGAAGGUAGCGUAAUCACUUGUCUUUUAAAUGAAGACCUGUAUGAAAGGCAUCACGAGAUUUUACCUGUCUCCCUUCUUCAAUCAGUGAAAUUGAUCUCCCCGUGCAGAAGCGGGCAUAAAGACAUAAGACGAGAAGACCCUAUGGAGCUUUAAAUAAUAUAUUAAUAAAAUGAAUUUACAACCCUCAGGGGAAAAGAAAUGGACUUAGCAUAAUAAAAUUAUUUUUGGUUGGGGCAACCACGGGGUAUAACACAACCCCCAUAUCGAUUGGGCAGAAAUGCCUAAAAAAUAGAACGACAGUUCUGUUUAAUAAAAUAUUUAACGAGCAACGAUCCAGAUAUAUCUGAUUAAUGAACCAAGUUACCCUAGGGAUAACAGCGCAAUCCUUUUCCAGAGUCCCUAUCGACGAAAGGGUUUACGACCUCGAUGUUGGAUCAGGACAUCCUAAUGGUGCAACCGCUAUUAAGGGUUCGUUUGUUCAACGAUUAAUAGUCCUAC